Molecule: ribosomal RNA, 348 nt
Filed under: uncultured bacterium
Lineage: Bacteria
Description: bacterial SSU rRNA
Rfam family: Bacterial small subunit ribosomal RNA
Source: RNAcentral
GGAUAUGUUAAUAGCAUACUCAUUUGACGUUAGCUGCAGAAGAAGCACCGGCUAACUCCGUGCCAGCAGCCGCGGUAAUACGGAGGGUGCGAGCGUUAAUCGGAAUUACUGGGCGUAAAGCGCAUGCAGGUGGUUUGUUAAGUCAGAUGUGAAAGCCCGGGGCUCAACCUCGGAAUUGCAUUUGAAAACUGGCAAACUAGAGUACUGUAGAGGGGGUAGAAUUUCAGGUGUAGCGGUGAAAUGCGUAGAGAUCUGAAGGAAUACCGGUGGCGAAGGCGGCCCCCUGGACAGAUACUGACACUCAGAUGCGAAAGCGUGGGGAGCAAACAGGAUUAGAUACCCUGGUAG